AACAACAUGACCUCCAAGACAGGGUCACCGUACCACUCUGUAGCAGUACGCGACCUUGUCGACCUACGAGGUUUGUAGUAGCUUGAUCAGAAGCUUAAUGAUCACAAUCAUUAGUUUCCACUUCAAUUUGCGUAGGCGCCACAUGAACAAAUUCCUGCGCCCUGCUACACACUAGUUGAAGUGAUGGUUCAAUAACCUCAUCAAGUUCCACCAUCCUCCCACUCAGUUCUUUCGAGAGAAACUUUUCCUCGAGAAAGGACCCGUUUCUAGAAACAAACACUUUGCUUCCGGAUCUGAGAUAGGAGGUAUACCCAACUAUUUUGGGUGUCCUAUGAAGAUGCGUUUAUCCGCUCUGGGUUCGAGCUUAUCAUGCUGAAACUUUUCCACAUGAGCAUCGCAGCCCCAAACUUUUAAGAAACGACAGCUUAGGUUUCUCCAAACCAUAGUUCAUACGGUGUCAUCUCAACGGAAUUACGUGGUACCCUAUUUAAAGUGAAUGUGGUUGUCUCUAAUGCCUAACCCAAAACGAUAGUGGUAUUUCGAUAAGAGACAUCAUAGUAUGCACCAUAUCAAAUAGGGCGCGGCUAUGACAUUCAGACAAACCAUCACACUAUGGUGUUCUAGGUGGCAUGAACUGCAAAACAAUUUCCACAUUGUCUUAACCGUGUACCAAAACUCGCAGCUCAGAUAUUCAUCUCUAUGAUCAUAUCGUAGACAGUUUAUCCUCUUGUCACGAUGAUCUUCACUCUGGAAUAGCUUUGAACUUUUCAAUAUUUCAGACUUGUGAUUCAUCAAGUAAAUACUCAUGUAUCUACUCAAAUCAUCAGUGAAGUGAGAACAUAACGAUAUCCACUGCGUGCCUUAGCACUCAUUGGACUGCACAUAUCAAAAAUCUAUUGCAUCCAACAAGUUACUUUCUUGUUCCAUGUGGUAUGAUUUUGCAUGUCUCAAGUGAGUUAAAAUCAAGUGAUUCCAAACGAUCCAUCUGCAUGGAGUUUCUUCAUGCGUUUAUACCAACAGGUAUGGUUUCCAUGUCUCAAACGUUUCAAAAAUGAGUGAGUACAAAGAUCCAUAAGCAUGGAGUUUCUUCAUGCAUUUUACACCAACAUGACUCAAGCGGCAGUGCCACAAGUAAGUGGUUCUAUCAUUAUUACUUUGUAUCUUUUGGCACCACUAUUAUGAAUAUGUGUAACACUACGAUCGAGAUUCAAUAAAUCAUUGAAGGUAAUUAUUCAAGAAAAUAGAAUAACCAUUAUUCUCUUUAAAUGAAUAAUCGUAUUGCAAUAAACACGAUCCAAUCAUGUUCAUGCUCAAAGCAAACACCAAAUAACAAUUAUUUAGGUUUAACACCAAUCCCGAUGGUAGAGGGAGCGUGCGAUGUUUUGAUCACAUCAACCUUGGAAACACUUUCAACACGUAUCGUCACCUCGCCUUUAGCUAGUCUCCGUUUAUUUCGUAGCUUUUAUUUCGAGUUACCAAUCACUUAGCAACCGAACCGGUAUCUAAUACCCUCGUGCUACUAGGAGUACUAGUAAAGUACACAUCAAUAUCAUGUAUAUCAAAUAUACUUCUGUUGACUUCGCCAGCCUACUCAUCUACCAAGUAUAUAGGGUAGCUCCGCCUCAGUGACCGUUCACCUCAUAACAAAAGCACUUAAUCUCGGGUUUGGGUUCAAUCUUGGGUUUCUUCAUUAGAGCAGCAACUGGUUUGUCGUUUCAUGAAGUAUCUCUUCUAGCCCUUGCCCUUCUUGAAACUAGUGGUUUUACUAACCAUCAACAAUUGAUGCUCCUUCUUGAUUUCUACUUUCGUAGUGUCAAACAUUGUGAAUCGCUCAAGGAUCAUCAUAUAUAUCCUUGAUAUGUUAUAGUUCAUCACGAAGCUCUAGCAGCUUGGUGGCAGUGACUUUGGAGAACCAUCACUAUCUCAUCUGGAAGAUUAACUCCCACUUGAUUCAAGCGAUUGUUAUACUGAGCACAUGCUCAACGAUUGAGCUUUUCUCCUUUACUUUGUAGACAAAGAAUCUUGUUGGAGGUCUCAUACCUUUCAACAAGGGCACGAGCAUGAAAUCUCAAUUUCAUAUCUUAGAACAUCUUUUAUGUUCCGUGACGUUUCAAAAUGUCUUCGGCGUCUUGCAUCUAAGCCAUUAAGUAUUACGCACUGAACUAUCACGUAGUCAUGAAAAAUGUGUAUGUCAGAUGUUCGCAACAUCCACAGACGACGCUUGAGGUGCAGCACACCGAGUGGUGCAUUAAGGACAUAAGCCUUCUACGCAGCAAUGAGGACAAUCCUCAGUUUUACGUACUCAGUCCGCAAAGUUACUACUAUCAUCUUUCAACUAAAUUUUCUCUAGGAACAUAUAAAAAAACAGUAGAGCUAUAGCGCAAGCUACAUCAUAAUUCGCAAAGACCUUUUGACCAUGCUCAUGAUAAUUAGUUCAAUUAAUCAUAUUACUUAAGAACUCCCACUCAAAAAAUACAUCCCUCUAGUCAUUUCAGUGGUGCAUGAUCCAAAUCCACUAACCCAAGUCCGAUCAUCACGUGAGUUGCGUAUAGUUUCAGUGGUAAACAUCUCUAUGCUAAUCAUAUCAACUAUAUGAUUCAUGCUCGACCUUUCGGUCUCUUGUGUUCCGAGGCCAUGUCUGCACAUGCUAAGCUCGUCAAGUUUAACCCGAGUGUUCCGCGUGUGCAACUGUUUUGCACCCGUUGUAUGCGAACGUUGAGUCUAUCACACCCGAUCAUCACGUGGUGUCUCGAAACGACGAACUGUCGCAACGGUGCAUAGUCGGGGAGAACACAAUUUUAUCUUGAAAUUUUAGUGAAGGAUCACGUUAUAAUGCUACCAUCGUUCUAAGAAAGAUAAGGUGCAUAAAAGGAUUAACAGCACAUGCAAUUCAUAAGUGACAUGAUAUGGCCAUGAUCUUGUGCUUCUUGAUCUCCAUCACCAAAGCACCGACAUGAUCUUCAUCGUCACCGGCACCACACCAUGAUCUCCACCAUCGUGCCGCCAUCGAGGUUGUCGUGCUAUAUACGCUAUCACUACUAAAGCUACAACCUAGCGAUAUAGUAAACGCAUAUGCAAACACAAACGUUAGUUUAAAGACAACCUUAUGGAUCCUGCCAGUUGCCGUAGCAUCGACGUGCAAGUCGAUAUUUAACUAUUACAAAAUGAUCAUCUCAUACAUCCAAUAUAUCACAUCAUGUCUUUGGCCAUAUCACAUCACAUGCAUACCCUGCAAAAACAAGUUAGACAUCCUCUAAUUUGUUGUUGCAUGUUUUACGUGGCUCCUAUGGGUAUCUAGUAUGAUCGCAUCUUACUUACGCAUAGCCACAACGGUAAUAUGCAAAUUGCUAUUUAACCUUUCUCCAAGGACCGCCUCGGUCAAAUCCGAUUCAACUAAAGUUGAAGAAACAGACACCCGCCAGUCAUCUUUAUGCAACAAGUUGCAUGUUAGUCGAUGAAACCGGUCUCUUGUAAGCGUACGAUUAAGGUUGGUUUGGGCCGCUUCAAUCCAACAAUACCGCCGAAUCGAGAAAAUACUAAGGAGGGCAGCAAAUUGAACAUCAAUGCCCACAAAAACUUGUUUGUUCUACUCGAGAUUACAUCUACGCAUGAACCUAGCUCAUGAUGCCACUAUUGGGGAACGUUUCAUGGGAAACUAAAAAAUUCCUACACACACGAAGACCUAUCAUGGUGAUGAUCAUCUACGAGAGGGAGAUCGGGUCCACAUACCCUUGUAGAUCGCUAAGUGGAAAUGUUAAGAAACGUGUAUGAUGUAGUGGUAUGUCUUCACGAUCCGUCCCACGAACCGUCUCACGAUCCGUCCCGAUCAAGUGUUGAACGGACGGCACCUCCGCGUUCCGCACACGUACAGCUCGAUGACGAUCUCCGCCUUCUUGAUCCAGCAAGAGGGGCGGAGAGGUAGAUGAGUUCUCCAGCAUGGCGAUGUGGUGGUGGUGUUGGUGGUGCUAUUCCAGCAGGGCUUCGCCUAAGCACCGCUGAAACUAGAGGAGAAACAGAUCUAGAGAGAGAGGGCAGCACGUGGCUGUUUCUGUUGUCCAAAAACCCUCAAAACCCUUAGUAUAUAUAGGAGGAGAGGAGGGAGAGGGUUGCGCCCUAGAGCAACCUUCUCUUCCCUUGCGCAAGGGAGAGGAGGAGGAGUCCUACUCCAAUCCUAUUUGGAGUAGGAUUCCUCCUUCCCACUUGGAAACUCUUUCCACCUUGUGUUUUUCCUUCUCAAACCUUAUGGGUCUUAGUGGGAACUUAUUCGAGCCCACUAGGGGAUGGUUUAUCUCUUGCCACAGCCCAUAAGGCCUCUUGGGGCGUGACACCCCUCCCGAUGGUCCCCGGCACACCUCCCGGCACUCCCGGUACACUACCGAUGAGCCCGAAACUUUUCCCGUGACCAAAACAGGACUCCCUAUAUAUCAAUCUUCAUUUCCGGACCAUUCUGGAAACCUUCGUGAUGUACGGGAUCUCAUCCGGCACUCUGAACAACCUUCGGUCACCAACACAUAUAACUUAACUAUACCGAAACAUCACCGAACUUUAAGUGUGUAGACCCUGCGGGUUCGAGAACUAUGUAGACAUGACCUGAGACACUCUUCGGUCAAUAACCAACGGCGGGACCUCGAUGUUCAUAUUGGCUCCUACAUAUUCUACGAAUAUCUCUAUCGGUUGAACCUCUAUGUCAAGGAUUAAUAUAAUCCCGUAUACUAUUCCCUUUGUCCUUCGGUAUGUUACUUGCCCGAGAUUCGAUCGUUGGUAUCUCCAUACCGAGUUCAAUCUCGUUACCGGCAAGUCUCUUUACUCGUUCCAUAAUACAAGAUCUCGUGACUAACUCCUUAGUCAUAUUGCUUGCAAGGCUUGUUGUGAUGUUGUAUUACCGAGUGGGCCCCCUAGAUACCACUCCGUCACAUGGAGUGACAAAUCACAGUCUUGAUCCAUGCCAACCUAAUAGACACCUUUGGAGAUACGUGUAGAGCACCUUUAUGGUCACCCAGUUAUGUUGUGACGUUUGAUACACACAAGGCAUUCCUCCGGUGUCCGGGAGUUGUGAUACGUCCAUUUUGCAUCAUGUUUUCAUGUUGAUAUUUAUUGCUUCUUGGGAUGUUAUAUUACUUGUGGUGCCAUAUUUAUGCCUUUUCGCUCUUAUUUUGCAAGGAUUAUUUGAAGAGGGAGAAUUCAGGCAGCUGGAAUUCUGGACUAGAAAAGGAGCAAAUCCUAGUCCACUAUUCUGCACAUCUCCAAAUGCCCUGAAAAUUUUCGUGGAUUUUUUCUAGAAUAUAUUAAAAAUACUGGGCGAAAGAACUACCAGAGGGGGCCACCAGGGCCCCACAAGCUUGCCCACCGCCGCCGCCCCCCUGGUGGCGCACGGCAGGCUUGUGGGCAGCCCACUGGCCCACUAGCCCCCCUCUUUUGCUAUAUGAUGCGUCCUGACCUGGAGAAAAUCAUACAGGAGCUUUUUCGUGGUUUCCCCGCCGCCACAGGGCGGAACUUGAGUAGAUCCAAUCUAGAGCUCCGGCAGGACGAUCUUGUCGGGGAAAUUUCCCUCCCGGAGGGGGGAAUCAUCACCAUCUUCAUCACCAACACUCCUCUCAGCGGAGGGGAGGCAUCUUCAUCAACAUCUUCAUCGGCACCAUCUCUUCUCCAAUCCCUAGUUCAUCUCUUGUAACCAAUCUUCGUCUCGCAACUCAGAUUAGUACUUGUAAGGUUGCUAGUAGUGUUGAUUACUCUUUGUAGUUGAUGCUUGUUGGAUUACUUGGUGGAAGAGUUUAUGUUCAGAUCCUUGAUGCUAUUCAUUACACCUCUGGUCAUGAUUAUGAUUAUAUCUUGUGAGUAGUUACUUUUGUUCCUAAGGACAUGGAAUAAGUCAUGCUGAUAAUAGUCAUGUGAAUUUGAUAUUCGUUCAGUAUUUUGAUAUGAUGUAUGUUGUUUUUCCUCUAGUGGUGUUAUGUGAACGUGGACUACAUAACACUUCACCAUAUUUGAGCCUAGAGGAAGGCAUUGUGAAGUAGUAAGUAGAUGAUGGGUUGCUGGAGUGACAGAAGCUUAAACCCCAGUUUAUGCGUUGCUUCGUGAGGGGAUGAUUUGGAUCCACUAGUUUAAUGCUAUGGUUAGACUUUGUCUUAAUUCUUCUUUUGUAGUUGCGGAUGCUUGCUAGAGAGGUUAAUCAUAAGUGGGAUGCUUGUCCAAGUAAGGUCAGUACCCAAGCGCCGGUCCACCCACAUAUCAAACUAUCAAAGUAACGAACGCGAAUCAUAUGAACAUGAUGAAACUAGCAUGACAGAAAUUCUCAUGUGUCCUCGGGAGCAUUUUUCCUCCUAUAUGACUUUGUUCAGGCUUGUCCCUUGCUACAAAAGGGAUUGGGCCACUUGCUGCACCGUUGCUACUACUUGUUAUUUGUUACUCUUUGCUUGCUACGUUUCACCUCGCUACACAAUCACUUGUUACCGCUACUUUCAGUGCUUGCAGUUAUUACCUUGCUGAAAUUCGUUUAUCACAGCCUUCUGCUCCUCGUUGGGUUCGACAAUCUUACUUAUAGAAAGGACUAUGAUUGAUCCCCUAUACUUGUGUUGGAAAUAUGCCCUAGAGGCAAUAAUAAAUUAGUUAUUAUUAUAUUUCUUUGUUCAUGAUAAUCGUUUCUUAUCCAUGCUAUAAUUGUAUUGAUUGGAAACACAGUGCAUGUGUGGAUACACAGACAAAACACAGUCCCUAGUAAGCCUCUAGUUGACUAGCUCGUUGAUCAAAGAUGGUCAAGGUUUCCUGACCAUAGGCAAGUGUUGUCACUUGAUAACGGGAUCACAUCAUUAGGAGAAUCAUGUGAUGGACUAGACCCAAACUAAUAAGACGUAGGAUGUUGAUCGUGUCAUUUUGUUGCUAUUGUUUUCUGCGUCUCAAGUAUUUGUUCCUAUGACCAUGAGAUCAUAUAACUCACUGACACCGGAGGAAUGCUUUGUGUGUAUCAAACGUUGCAACGUAACUGGGUGACUAUAAAGAUGCUCUAUAGGUAUCUCCGAAGGUGUUCGUUGAGAUAGUAUGGAUCGAGACUGGGAUUUGUCACUCCGUGUGACGGAGAGGUAUCUCGGGGCCCACUCGGUAAUACAACAUCACNNNNNNNNNNNNNNNNNNNNNNNNNNNNNNNNNNNNNNNNNNNNNNNNNNNNNNNNNNNNNNNNNNNNNNNNNNNNNNNNNNNNNNNNNNNNNNNNNNNNNNNNNNNNNNNNNNNGGUAAACGAGAUUGAAAUAGGUAUGCGGAUACUGACGAUCGAAUCUCGGGCAAGUAACAUACCGAAGUACAAAGGGAAUGACAUACGGGAUUAUAUGAAUCCUUGGCACCGAGGUUCAAACGAUAAGAUCUUCGUAGAAUAUGUAGGAUCCAAUAUGGGCAUCCAAGUCCCGCUAUUGGAUAUUGACCGAGGAGUCACUCGGGUCAUGUCUACAUAGUUCUCGAACCCGCAGGGUCUGUACACUUAAGGUUCGACGUUGUUUUAUGCGUAUUUGAGUUAUAUGGUUGGUUACCGAAUGUUGUUCGGAGUCCCGGAUGAGAUCACGGACAUCACGAGGGUUUCCGGAAUGGUCCGGAAACAAAGAUUGAUAUAUAGGAUGACCUCAUUUGAUUACCGGAAGGUUUUCGGAGUUACCGGGAAUAUACCGGGAAUGACGAAUGGGUUCCUCGGAAUGUACCAGGAAUGACGAAUGGGUUCCGGGUGUUCACCGGGGGGGCAACCCACCCCGGGGAAGCCCAUAGGCCUUGGGGGUGGCGCACCAGCCCUUAGUGGGCUGGUGGGACAGCCCAAUAAGGCCCUAUGCGCCAUAGGAAGAAAAUCAAAGAGAAAAAGGAAAAAAGAAAAGGGGAGGUGAGAAAAAGGGGAAGGACUCCACCUUCCAAACCUAGUUGGAUUCGGUUUGGAAGGGGAGGACUCCCCCCCUUGGCUCGACCGACCCCCAAGGCAAGGCCCCCCUCUCCCACCUAUAUAUACGGAGGUUUUAGGGUUGAUUUGAGACAACUUUGCCACGGCAGCCCGACCACAUACCACCAUGGUUUUACCUCUAGAUCGCGUUUCUGCGGAGCUCGGGUGGAGCCCUGCUGAGAUUAGAUCACCACCAAACUCCGGAGCGCCGUCAUGCUGCCCGAGAACUCAUCUACCUCUCCGUCUCUCUUGCUGGAUCAAGAAGGCCGAGAUCAUCGUCGAGCUGUACGUGUGCUGAACGCGGAGGUGCCGUCCGUUCGGCACUAGAUCGUGGGACGGAUCGCGGGACGGUUUGCGGGGCGGAUCGAGGGACGUGAGGACGUUCCACUACAUCAACCGCGUUUCUUAACGCUUCUGCUGUGCGAUCUACAAGGGUACAUAGAUCAAAUAUCCCCUCUCGUAGAUGGACAUCACCAUGAUAGGUCUUCGUGCGCGUAGGAAAAUUUUUGUUUCCCAUGCGACGUUCCCCAACAACUUGUGGGUCAUCAAGACUCUUUUCUGGCGCCGUUGCCGGGGAGUGAAGCGCCUUUGGUAAGUGGAAAUUGGUAAGGAAACAAUUUUAUACUGUGCUGAAAUUUAUUGUCACUUGUCACUAUGGAAACUCUUCCUUUGAGGAGUUUGUUCGGGGUAUCUUCACCAUGAACGGAAGCACGAGGAUUUGCUCCUCAACCUGAGGUACCUACUGAAAAUAUCUUUUAUAAAAUUCCUUUGGGUAUGCUUGAGAAAUUGCUGGCUAAUCCUUUUACAGGAGAUGGAUCUUCACAUCCAGACUUUCAUCUAAUCUAUGUAGAUGAAGUUUGUGGUUUAUUUAAGCUUGCAGGUUUGCCCGAGGAUGAGGUAAAGAAGAAACUCUUUCCUUUAUCUUUGAAGGAUAAGGCAUUGACAUGGUAUAGGCUAUGUGAUGAUACUGGAUCAUGCAGCUACAAUCGGUUGAAAUUGGAAUUUCAUCAAAAGUUCUAUCCCAUGCAUUUAGUAUAUCAUGAUCGGAACUUUAUUUAUAACUUUUGGCCUCGUGAUAGGGAAAGCAUAGCUCAAGCUUGGGGGAGGCUUAAAUCAAUGCUAUAUUCAUGCCCCAAUCAUGAGCUCUCGAGAGAAAUCAACACUCAAAACAUUUAUGCUCGGAUUUCUCAUGAAGAUCGUACCAUGCUUGAUACUUCUUGUGCCGGUUCUUUUAUGAAGAAGAAUAUUGAUCACAAGUGGAAUUUAUUGGAGAGAAUCAAACGCAACUCUGGAGAUUGGGAGCUGGAGGAAGGUAAGGACUCAGGUAUGAAUUUCUAUUUUGAUUGCGUUAAAUCUUUUGUUGAGACAAACACUUCUAGAGAGCGCUAAGUAUGGACUUGACUCUGAGAUAGUAGCUUCUCUUUGUAAAUCUUUUGCUGCUCAUGUUGAUCUUCCCAAAGAGAAGUGGUUUAAAUAUCAUCCUCCUGUAGAAAGCAACAUAGCCAAAACCAAUCUAGUUGAGGAGAAAAUCAUAGCUUUUAGUGAUCCUGUUGUUCCUUGUGCUUACACUGAGAAACCACCAUACCCUGCUAGGAUGAAGGAUUAUUCUAAAGCUCCAACUGUGAUACGUAGGGGUUACAUUAGACCACUUGCACCCCCUGAAGAGAUUAGAGUUGAACCUAGUGUUGCUAUUAUCAAAGAUCUCUUAGCCAAAGAGAUAGAUGGGCAUGUUAUCAAAUUCUGUGAGGACUCCGCUAGAAUUGCUAAACCUCACGCGAAAGACAAGCACGGACCUGUAGUUGGCCUGCCCGUUGUUUCUGUUAAGAUAGGAGAUCACUGUUACCAUGGUUUAUGUGAUAUGGGAGCUAGUGUUAGUGCAAUACCCCGUUCUCUAUAUGAUGAAAUCAAAGAUGAGAUUGCACCAGCUGAGAUAGAACCCAUUGAUGUCACUAUCACGCUAGCUAAUAGAGACACUAUAUGCCCUUUGGGAAUUGUGAGAGAUGUAGAAGUCCUGUGUGGUAAGACGAAGUAUCCUACUGAUUUCCUCGUCCUUGGUACUACACAAGAUAGCUUUUGUCCCAUCAUAUUCGGUAGACCCUUUCUCAACACUAUCAAUGCUCACAUUGAUUGCAUUAAGCAGACUGUCAUAGUAAGUUUCGAGGGUGUGUCUCAUGAAUUUAACUUCUCCAAGUUUGGAAGACAACCCCAUGAAAGAGAUUCAUCUGGUAGGGAUGAAAUCAUUGCUCUUUCCUCUAUUGCCAUACCUCCUACGAAUCCUUUAGAGCAAUAUCUGCUUGAGCAUGAAAAUGAUAUGCAUACGGAGGAGAGAGAUGAGAUAGAUAGAAUUGUCUUAGAACAAUGUCCUAUUCUCAAGAAUAAUCUGCAUGUUGAACUGCUUGGGGAUCCUCCCCCACCAAAGGGUGAUCCUGUGUUCGAGCUUAAACAGUUGCCUGAUACUCUUAAGUAUGCCUAUCUUGAUGAGAAGGAGAUAUAUCCUGUCAUUAUUAGUGCUCUCCUCUCAGAGCGUGAAGAGAAGAAGUUACUAAAAACUCUGAGGAAGCACCGCGCUGCUAUUGGAUAUACUCUUGAUGAUCUUAAGGGUAUUAGUCCUACUCUAUGUCAGCACAAGAUUAAAACCGAUCCUGACUUUAAACCAGUUGCUGAUCAUCAAAGGAGAUUAAAUCCUAAGAUGAAAGAGGUCGUUAGAAAAGAAAUAUUAAAGCUUCUGGAAGCAGGAAUCAUUUAUCCUAUUGCUCAUAGUGAUUGGGUAAGUCCAGUACAUUGCGUACCUAAGAAGGGAGGUAUCACCGUCGUUCCUAAUGAUAAGGAUGAACUAAUCCCACAAAGGAUUAUUACCGGCUAUAGAAUGGUGAUAGACUUCCGGAAACUGAACAAGGCAACCAGGAAAGAUCAUUAUCCUUUGCCGUUCAUCGACCAAAUGCUAGAAAGGCUAUCAAAGCACACACACUUUUGCUUUCUAGACGGUUAUUCAGGUUUCUCGCAAAUACCUGUUGCAUAAUUUGAUCAAGAGAAAACCACCUUCACCUGCCCUUUCGAUACCUUUGCCUAUAGAUGUAUGCCUUUUGGCUUAUGUAAUGCACCUGCCACCUUUCAAAGAUGUAUGAUGGCUAUAUUCUCUGACUUUUGUGAAAAGAUUGUCGAGGUUUUCAUGGAUGACUUCUCCAUUUACGGGUCUUCCUUUGAUGAUUGCCUCAGCAACCUUGAUCGAAUCUUACAGAGAUGCGAAUAAACCAACCUCGUCUUGAAUUGGGAGAAGUGCCACUUUAUGGUUAAUGAAGGUAUCGUCUUAGGACACAAAAUCUCUGAAAGAGGCAUUGAAGUUGAUAAGGCUAAGGUUGAUGCAAUUGAGAAAAUGCCUUGCCCCACAGAUAUCAGAGGUAUACGAAGUUUCCUAGGUCAUGCUGAUUUCUAUAGAAGGUUCAUUAAAGACUUCUCUAAGAUUUCUAGGCCUCUUACCAACCUCUUGCAGAAGGAUGUUCCUUUUGUUUUUGAUGAGGAUUGUGAGGAAGCCUUCGAAAUACUUAAGAAGGCUUUGAUAACCGCACCUAUUGUUCAACCACCUGACUGGAACUUUCCCUUUGAAAUCAUGUGUGACGCUAGUGAUUAUGCUGUUGGUGUUGUUCUAGGACAAAGAGUUGACAAGAAGUUGAAUGUCAUUCACUACGCUAGUAAAACUCUAGACAGUGCCCAAAGGAACUAUGCCACUACGGAGAAGGAAUUUUUAGCACUCGUGUUUGCAUGUGAAAAAAUCAGAUCUAACAUAGUUGACUCCAAGGUCACUAUUCACUCUGAUCAUGCUCCUAUUAAGUACCUUAUGGAGAAGAAGGACGCUAAGCCUAGGCUUAUCAGAUGGGUUCUCCUGCUACAGGAAUUUGAUUUGCACGUCAUUGACCGAAAGGGUGCUGAUAACCCUGUAGCAGAUAACUUGUCUAGGCUAGAGAAUGUCCUUGAUGACCCACUACCAAUUGAUGACAGCUUUCCUGAUGACCAAUUAAAUGUCAUCCGCACUUCACUUAGUGCACCAUGGUAUGCCGAUUAUGCAAACUAUAUCGUAGCCAAAUACAUACCACCCAGUUUCACCUAUCAACAAAAGAAGAAAUUCUUCUUUGAUUUGAGACACUACUUUUGGGAUGAUCCUCACCUUUAUAAGGAAGGAGUAGAUGGUGUUAUUAGACGUUGUGUGCCUGAACAUGAACAGGGACAGAUCCUGCAGAAGUGUCAUUCCGAAGCCUACGGAGGACACCACGCUGGAGAUAGAACUGCCCAUGAGGUAUUGCAAUCAGGUUUCUAUUGGCCCACUCUCUUCAAGGAUGCUCGUAAGUUUGUCUUGUCUUGUGACAAAUGCCCAAGGAUAGGGAACAUCAGUAAGCGUCACAAGAUGCCUAUGAACUAUUCACUUGUCAUUGAACCAUUUGAUGUCUGGGGCUUUGAUUAUAUGGGACCCUUCCCGAGUUCCAGUGGGUACACUCACAUCUUAGUUGUUGUGGAUUACGUUACUAAGUGGGUAGAAGCUAUCCCCACUAAAAAUGCUGAUCACCACAACUCUAUUAAGAUGCUUAAAGAAGUUAUAUUCCCAAGAUUUGGAGUCCCUAGAUACUUGAUGACUGAUGGCGGUUCACACUUCAUUCAUGGUGUUUUCCGCAAGAUGCUAGCUAAGUAUGAUGUCAACCAUAGAGUUGCAUCUCCUUAUCAUCCUCAGUCUAGUGGUCAAUUGGAGUUGAGUAAUAGGGAGAUCAAGUUGAUCUUACAAAAGACCGUCAAUAGAUCCCGAAAGAACUGGUCUAGCAAACUUGACGAUGCACUAUGGGCUUAUAGGACUGCUUAUAAAAAUCCCAUGGGCAUGUCACCGUAUAAAAUGGUUUACGGUAAGGCCUGUCAUUUACCUCUUGAGUUGGAACACAAAGCUUAUUGGGCAAUCAAAGAGCUCAACUUUGAUUUCAAACUUGCCAGUGAGAAGCGGUUGUUUGAUAUCAGCUUGUUGGAUGAAUGGAGAGCCCAGGCAUAUGAGAAUACCACGUCGUCAAGGAAAAGGUUAAGAGAUGGCACGACAAACGAAUACAGAAACGAGAGUUCAAUGUAGGUGAUUAUGUCUUGCUAUACAAUUCUCGUUUGAGAUUCUUUGGAGGCAAGCUUCUCUCUAAAUGGGAAGGUCCCUACGUUGUCGAGGAAGUAUAUCGUUCCGGUGCCAUCAAAAUCAAUAAUACAAGGAAAUUUUCCUAGAGUGGUAAAUGGGCAAAGAAUCAAGCAUUACAUCUCUGGUACUCCCAUAAAUGUUGAGACCAAUAUCAUCAAUGUCAUAACUCCACAGGAGUACAUAAGGGAUGUUUAUCAGCCUGUUUCAGACCUUGAAAACGAAGAUGUAUCUGUUUCGGCAAGAAAUUGGACUCCGAUACUUUUCCAAUAGGAAAUUUCCUCAGUUUUGGAAUUUUUGGAAAAUUAGAAAAAUAAAAAAGCAGUCCGGAGAGCAAACGAGGAAGCCACAAGGGCCCACUCCGCCACCACCCCCUGGUGGCGGUGGGCAAGCUUGUGGGCACCUUGUGUGCCUCCCGGACUCCGUUUUCUUGCAGAGGACUCCUUCUGGCCCAGAAAAAAUCAAUAUAUAGUUGCCCGAAGGUUUUGAUCUUCAUAUCGCGUAGUUUUCCUCUGUUUUCGUUUCGAGCUUGUUUCUGCCGCAGAUCUAGAUCAUCAUGACUUCCCCAAACGCUCCUAAGGACAAGAUCUUGGAGAAGGUCAUCAAUCCCUACCUCACGGAAGUGCUAAAACACCAUCAAUCUAUCAAGAUGAGCGAGGGGAUGUUGCACAUCCGUGAUGUUGAGGGGCCUAAGAAGACCGGAAGCAUGGAGACGAGGCUCGAAGUAGUGGAGCAACAAGUCUUCAUGUGCCAAGGGAUGGUUGAGCGUGGACUCAACGCCAACCACACGAUGAUCACGGAGUUCACUAGCAAUCACAAGAUGGAUGUCAUUGAUAUCGGGAAACACCUCUCCAGACUUUACGAUAGGGUUGACCAACUUCAGGGCCAAAUCUAUGACCUGCAGAAUCAAAACUGUGAGUAUGGGUAUAGAUUUAAAUCAAUAAGGUUGGCUGCAGAUUUGAGGAUUUCGGCUACUCGUUCAUCCUGCCAUGAUGGAGCACCUAUGCCUUGGAAGACGGAGGAUCAGACUACUCCAACAACACCACCAUCAUCACCAAAGGAAGACAACUAAGCAUUGGUAUGGGCAAUCCCCUUGGCUUCUGCCGAGCUUGGGGGAGUUGCCCUGGUAUCAUAUCACCUUUAUAUCUUUUGCUUUUACCUUUGUUUUAGUUCUUUCCCUUUCAGUUUUUAUUUCUUCUUUUAGAGGAAUAAGUCUUUAGUUUUUAGUUUGAGUCUUUUGCUUUUGGUCUCUCCCCCGAUGUAUUCGAGCUUACGAGCUAUAUAAUAAAGAGUGUCUUAGUCAAAGGGCUUUGCUUUGUGCCAUGAUCAAAAGUAUGAAAAGAACGAUAGCAUGAAAGAUCAUGAGACGAUCUUAUGGAAAGUGAUAACUUCACUUAUGACACGUAUGAUGAUUGAAACUUGUCGAGAAUAAAUCAACACAUACCUCAGUCAUUGUUGCAAUUAAUAAGAAGUAAUAAGGAAAGAGAGGUUCACAUAUAAAUAUAUCAUCUUAGACACUUUCUACAAUUGUGAGCACUCACCAAACUAUUACAUGCCUAGGAGUAGAUGUUGGACAAGGAAGACAACAUAAUGAAUUGUGUUUGCUUGGUUCCAAACAAUGUUAUAUGAUUAGAGAUCCCUUAGCAUGUGACGAUUGCUUCCACCUCAUAUUAGCCAAAACUUCCGCACCAAGUAGAGAUACUACUUGUGCAUCCAUAAACCUUCAACCCAGUUUUGCCAUGAGAGUCCACCAUACCUACCUAUGGAUUGAAUAAGAUCCUUCAAGUAAGUUGUCAUCGGUGCAAGCAAUAAAAAUUGCUCUCUAAUAUGUAUGAUCUAUUAGUGUGUGGAAAAUAAGCUUUGUACGAACCUGUGAUGAGGAAGACAUAAAAGCGACAGACUGCAUAAUAAAGUUCUUUGUCACAGGAGGCAAUAUAAAGUGACGUUCCUCCGCACUAAGAGGACACGCAUUCAAACCUCAAAAGUGCAUGACAACCUCUGCUUCCCUCUGCGAAGGGCCUAUCUUGUACCUUUACUUUUACCCUUGUAAGAGUCAUGGUGAUCAUCACCAAUUCCCUUUUUGCCUUCGUCUUGGCUACCGUCACAUGCUUGGAAAAGAUCUAUAUUCAUAUAUCAACUUGGAGUUGAGUACUCAUGCUUUAUUGUUGUUGACUUUACCCUUGAGGUAAACCGUUGGGAGGAAAAACUAUAAGCCCCCAUCUUCCUCUGUGUCGAGCUGAAGCUUUGACACCAUGAGUACCACGUGAGCUAUAAAAAUUGUGGAAAACAAAAGAGAUGAUUGAGUAUGUGGGUUUGCCUUACAAGCUCUUAUUUGACUCUUUCUGAUGUUGUGAUAAAUUGCAAUUGCUUCAAUGAUUAUGGACUAUUGUUGGUUACUUCUCGGUAAGGUUUUUGCUUCAUGCUUUGCUUUGUGAAGGAAUUGUUACUUUCCCAUAAGAAUCUUUAUAUAUAUUGUUGUUCUAUGUGUGAUCAUGAUGCCCUCAUGUCUGUAUUAUGUUUUAUCGACACCUUCGUCCCUCAACAUGUGGACGUGUUUAUGGAACUUGGUUUUCGCUUGAGGACAAGCGAGGUCUAAGCUUGGGGGAGUUGAUACGUCCAUUUUGCAUCAUGUUUUCAUGUUGAUAUUUAUUGCUUCUUGGGAUGUUAUAUUACUUGUGGUGCCAUAUUUAUGCCUUUUCGCUCUUAUUUUGCAAGGAUUAUUUGAAGAGGGAGAAUUCAGGCAGCUGGAAUUCUGGACUAGAAAAGGAGCAAAUCCUAGUCCACUAUUCUGCACAUCUCCAAAUGCCCUGAAAAUUUACGUGGAUUUUUUCUGGAAUAUAUUAAAAAUACUGGGCGAAAGAACUACUGGAGGGGGGCCACCAGGGCCCCACAAGCUUGCCCACCACCACCACCCCCUGGUGGCGCACGGUAGGCUUGUGGGCAGCCCACUAGCCCACUAGCCCCCCUCUUUUGCUAUAUGAUGCGUCCUGACCUGGAAAAAAUCAUACAGGAGCUUUUUCGUGGUUUCGCCGCCACCACGGGGCGGAACUUGAGCAGAUCCAAUCUAGAGCUCUGGCAGGACAAUCCUGCCGGGGAAAUUUCCCUCCCGGAGGGGGGAAUCGUCGCCAUCUUCAUCACCAACACUCCUCUCGUCGGAGGGGAGGCAUCUUCAUCAACAUCUUCAUCAGCACCAUCUCUUCUCCAAUCCCUAGUUCAUCUCUUGUAACCAAUCUUCAUCUCGCAACUCAAAUUGGUACUUGUAAGGUUGCUAGUAGUGUUGAUUACUCUUUGUACUUGAUGCUUGUUGGAUUACUUGGUGGAAGAUUUUAUGUUCAGAUCCUUGAUGCUAUUCAUUACACCUCUGGUCAUGAUUAUGAUUAUGUCUUGUGAGUAGUUACUUUUGUUCCUGAGGACAUGGAAUAAGUCAUGCUGAUAAUAGUCAUGUGAAUUUGAUAUUCGUUCGGUAUUUUGAUAUGAUGUAUGUUGUUUUUCCUCUAGUGGUGUUAUGUGAAUGUCAACUACAUAACACUUCACCAUAUUUGGGUCUAGAGGAAGGCAUUGGAAAGUAGUAAGUAGAUGAUGGGUUGCUGGAGUGACAGAAGCUUGAACCCCAGUUUAUGCGCUACUUCGUGAGGGGUUGAUUUGGAUCCACUAGUUUAAUGCUAUGGUUAGACUUUGUCUUAAUUCUUCUUUUGUAGUUGCGGAUGCUUGCGAGAUAGGUUAAUCAUAAGUGGGAUGCUUGUCCAAGUAAGGGCAGUACCCAAGUGCCGGUCCACCCACAUAUCAAACUAUCAAAGUAACGAAUGCGAAUCAUAUGAACAUGAUGAAACUAGUAUGACAGAAAUUCCCGUGUGUCCUCGGGAGCGUUUUCCUCCUAUAAGACUUUGUUCAGGCUUGUCCCUUGCUACAAAAGGGAUUGGGCCACUUGCUGCACCGUUGCUACUACUUGUUACUUGUUACUCUUUGCUUGCUACGUUUCACCUCGCUACACAAUCACUUGUUACCGCUACUUUCAGUGCUUGCAGUUAUUACCUUGCUGAAAUCCGUUUAUCAGAGCCUUUUGCUCCUCGUUGGGUUCGACACUCUUACUUAUCGAAAUGACUACGAUUGAUCCCCUAUACUUGUGGGUCAUCAAGUUGCGUGAUCACAUGGUCAUAGGAACAGAAACAUUGACAUGCAGAAAAAUAGUAGCAAUAAACUGACACGAUCAUAUGCUACAUUUAUAGUUCGGUUCUUGUCCAUCACAUCAUUCUCCCAAUGAUGUGAUCCCGUCAUCAAGUGACAACACUUGCCUAUGGCCAGGAAACCUUGACCAUCUUUGAUCAACGAGCUAGUCAACUAGAGGCUCACUAGGGACAGUGGGUUGUCUAUGUAUCCACACAUGUAUUUGAGUUUCCAAUCAAUACAAUUCUAGCAUGGAUAAAUAAAUGAUUAUUACGAACAAGGAAAUAUAAUAAUAACCAAUUUAUUAUUGCCUCUAGGGCAUAUUUCCAACAAUUUCUAUGUAAAAGGUGCGGAUAGUACCUCAUUCUCGUCUAUCCCAAGCUGAGGUAUGUCACCGACCCUAUGCUCAUCCAUGCAUACAAAAUUAUCCACUGGAGCCCUGAAUAAUUUUUUAUAGUAUUCAAAGAUAUAUUGUUUGAGAUUCUCAUGUCCCACAAUUGUACCCUCAUCUUGUUCUAGCUGGAUAAUUUUUUUAUUCCUAUGCUUUCCAUUAGCUAUUAGAUGGAAAUGUUGUGUGUUGUCAUCUCCUUGUACCACUUGGAGGACUUUCGCUCUUAGUGCCCACUUCAACUCCUCCUCUCUGAGUAGUUGUUUGAGCUUUAGUUCAGCCUCCAUUUUUCAAUGACCUCUCAUUGUCACCUAAUAACGUUUGUUCGGCUUUUAUGUCUAGUGUGUUUAUAAGUUUAUAAGUUCGACAAGCCUUUGUUUCUUUUUCUUAUAAAUUACACUAUCGUGCUUUUCCCAACCCCUUAAGAAUUGCCUCAGGUGUCUUAUCUUAUUUUGCCACCUGUCAACAUUCGAGUCACCUUCUGUGAAAUAGCCCAUUCUCAAACCCGUCCCUUUCAAACCAUCCCAAUUCGAAAGAAAAAAGGUUUUUAUUUCCCACAUGUGUUGCUUCUCGCGAGUCUACAAACAGUGGGGUAUGAUCAGAGAUAGCUCUUGGUAACUCUCAAACUGUGACGAGAGGGAAUUUCUGCUCCCAUUCCACACUCAUGAGAACCCGGUCCAACUUCUCAAAAGUUGGGUUAGGUAAAGAGUUUGCCCAAGUAAACUUUCUCCCUGAUAGCUCAAUCUCCCACAAAUUAAGGCUCUCGAUGAUUGAAUUAAACAUAAAUGACCAUCUUCCAUCAAAGUUAUCACUGUUUUUCUCAUCCUGCCUCCAGAUUAUAUUAAAAUCGCCCCCUACUAAAAUCGGCAGUCUCUCGUCCCCGCAGAUUCGGACAAGGUCAGCCAAGAAAUCUCUCUUGAACUCAGGCUGGGCCGCCCCAUGCACAUCUACGAGUGCCCAUUGGAACCCGUCAUCUUUGGAGCGAACUCAAAAUUUGACUGCAAAGUCUCCAUACACCACUUUCGUAGUUGUGGUGUCUCGCACCGAACCCCAAGCAAGAUCCCACCUGAUCUUCCUCUUGGAGGUAGACAAUGCCAGUCAAAUUCAGAACCUCCAUACAACGUGUUUAAAAACGAAGCUAUAUAGUUAUCUCUCCCAGUUUCCAUCAAUGCAACGAAAUCCAAUUUGUGCUCAAUAGUUGUUUCAGCUAGGAAUCUUCUUUUAGCCAAGUCUGCUAGACCUCUGCUAUUCCAAAAUGUUCCUUUCAUCGCUCAUCAUGAAAUUUCUUAGCCGUUUUAAAUCUAGCACUACGACGCACAGCUGAAACAGGAUAGACUUUUCUCUUCCAGGUUCUUUUUGGCCUAUCCUGAACCUCCGACCGAUCCACAUAACCGUUGGACUCUUGUGCGUUAGCAUUCGUUUGUGGAGGAGCCUCAUACCCCUCCUGAACGAUAUCAUUUGUGUCUUCAAGCAAAAGGGGGGUGGCACAAGAUCCUCACAUAAACGCUCUAAGGCUCCCAAACCCAAUGCAUUUAUAUCAGAAUCAUUCAUAGGUUUUACGGCUGCAAUUUUUCUGACCAUCUCAAUUGCCCUCUCUGCCUCUAAGUCUAACAUGUCAUUUACCGAUCUAGAUAUCUCCUGGUCUACCAAACGCUAGAAUAAGGCCUAGUAACGGGCCCGACCCAUGCCAUUUUGGCCCAUGACUGCAACCAAACACACCCUUAAGUAACUUCUACAAUAUCCAUCCCCAACUUCCAGAAAUUCUAACACUUAAAAAAUCAAAAUCAAACUAUUGGCAUUUAAAACUUUCAUACAUUUCAUUUCUGAAAAAAAUGGUCUUUUAGAUUUCGAAAUAUCAGUAUUAUAUUUUUUACAAAAUUUAACUUUAAGAAUUUUCAAAAUUAUAAGGAUUCAAAAUUCAAAUGUUUUAGCACUUAAAAAAAUUCAAACUUUAAAAAAAUUGAACUUUCAAAUGUUUUGAAUUUUAAGAAGUGUGAACUUUCAUUUUUUUAUAAAGGAUGGGUUUUAUUUACUCAAAAUAAAGCAUCAAGAGCAUACAAAUACAAUAAGAACACACCCGGCCACUUUAUAACUAGGAUGCACACAACCAACUCAAACUCACACACACAAAAAUACGAUCGGUAAAUAGCAAAGUCAUAUAAGACCAAAGCUAUGUGCGCGGUUGGAAAAAGAAACCAAAGCGACCAUAUUGGCAAUGGACAAACUACAACAAUGACCAUAUCUGCACCAACAAUUUCAUUACACCACACGGACAACGAGGUUCCUCAACAAUGACACCUUCAGAAAGGGAGCGACGCUCAAAUGCCGCUAUCAUCGGAUCCAACCAUCCAAGGUCAGAUGCAAGAUUUUCACUCUGAGAAUCAGUCCAAGCAUGUCCGAGCAAUUCCUUCAAUAAGGUAAUGGCGUAAAAACAUCGCCAUUGCCAGGUACAGCCAACUCGAGUUGGACCUAGGCUUUCACCCGGGAGCUCAAGACCGGGUGCUCGAGAAGCACCACCAUCGAAGUCACUAUGUGUUGUUGCCACUACUUUUCCACAAUCUCAGUAGCUAUAUGCGAUGUGUGACCGCUGAUGCUGCACAACCAUCCCUCUACAUCAAGCCAUCAUCAAUAGUUUCAAUCUCACCGUUGAAGUCAACCAUCGGAUCUCCAAGAUCAAUCAUGAAGACCUUUUGAUGGAUACUACAUCAAUCCGCCGCGAGACCGCCACCGUAGUCAUGGUGGUCACCACACGUUCGUCGUCACGCCCCUAGCAGACCUAAAGGUCCACACCAAGGAACCACGGGUCCACACGCAUGGAGCCAUGGAUGUGUGUGUGGAUCAUGAAACGACCAAUCCAUGGCCAUGGCCAUUAGAUGAGACUAUCCCUGGCUGAUGGCAGGUGUCCAAGCCCUGCCGACAUGGCCACUACACCAUGGGCGCCAUCCCACAUGAAGGAGCCACCAGGCGGAGCAGCGACCACAAGUGAGGCGAGAUCUACACCAGCAAUGGCUGGAUCAUCCAGGUAACUGUCCGCUGGAUCUGUGGUGACAUCGUUGGAGGAAGCACGGGGUAGAGAGUGUGAAUCUGGGUUGGGGGAGAGGGGAAGGUCGGGGAAGAAGAUCCCUGUGGCGGUUGAGUCCCGCCGCCGCUGACAAACUGUCAUCGAUGAUGACGACGAGGAUGGAACAUCGGAGGCGGCCUCGAGUGCUAGGGUUUCUCGCCCCCGGUGUCGCCCUGGAGCAACACGGGAGGCCGAUGGCGAUUUCAUAGGAGAGAGAGAGAGAAGGUUGAGAAAUAGAAUCACAUGGUUGGGCAUGUGAGGAAAGAGAGAGAUGGAAAGAAGCACAUGGAUGAGGCCCCCUCGUCCUAUCUACCACAUGGUAACCUGACACAGUCACAUGCAAUGCUUGCGGCAAUGACCAUGGGCACAGUUCCCACAAGAGAGCAUUCUUAGAGUAAUAGCGAGUCUCAUCCUCAUGUUGGAUGCCUAUAUAAAGCUUCUCCUUUCCAACAUUCAUCAUACGAAUUGGCCAAAAUUUCUUUCUCAUUUGUGAUCUUUCAUCACAUUCAACUUUCCUUUGUAUAUAUUGUUGCUAAGCUUCAAAUUCUAAUCAGCUGGAGCUAAGCAAUGAAUUCUUCAUGCCAUCGAGCAUUCCUCGUGAGGAACAUCUUUUGUACUUUGGAAUGAGUGGUAUCGAGAAAUUAGUCAGGACGACUUUCUGAGGCUGAGGCGCCGCUUUUUUCUGUUCUCGUCUCUGAGACGUUGAGGUGGUAGACAUUUAUGAUAAGUGCAUUUCUUGUUGAGAAUAGCAUCGAUAAUCAUGUCUAGUCUAACAACUUGCUCAUUUAGGACUACCCUGGACAGUGCAACAAGUAAAAUACCAAAUCCUUGUACAAAAACAAGUUGUUGCCCUGUGGUGAGGAGUUGAAGCUAUGGCAUGAACUCGUCCAUGUGUGCGGUAUUUCUCCUUGUUGUUUCCAUCGUCUCUAGAAAUCGCUAAAAAGAUCAAAAACAAUAUCAAACCGUUGACACUAUGUGUCUACCAUCUCACACAAAUUCGAACCCAUAUCCAUCGCAGAUCUCCAAAAACAAACAAACAAGACGGAUCCAGUGUUGAACAGCAUAGCAACUAAUUCAAAUCAGCACAUGAACACAUCAUAUCAUCAGCACCAACACAAGAUUGUUUUUUUUUCUCUUUUCUUCAAACAAUAUCCUGAUUAAGGUUUAAAUAUUCUUGUGGCGUUGUAAAUACAUGUUGUGUGUCAGAGACAUAAUUCUUUUUCAAAUAAAAAAACAUAACUUUUUUUACCACAAAUUUUUCUAGGCUUAUGUGUGUGUAUCUUCCUUGUUUCAGUUCCAAGUGACAAGAGGCAAACUUGUCACGGUUGACUGAAUAGAACAGUAGCAAUCGACCUGCCCGGAGCUUCUAUUUUUUGUAGGUGAUUUUCUCUGUUAAGAGUGACUUCUUCUUUUUUGAGAGUUUUGUUAAGAGUGACAUGAAAUCUGCAUAUGGCGAUCGAGCACGCAUGCCGGCGAUCCCACACGGCGCACCGCAGCCACAAGCCGAUCGCCCCCACAAAAUCUGCCCGACGGCUCCCACCGGGAUGGGAUUCCCCGGUGCCAAUGGCGCGCGCCCACCUCACCCCCUCUUAUCCCCGCCUCACCCACUCGCGCCACGCCCCUUAUCCCCUCCUCUUACAAACCCACACAAACUAAUCAUCGCCCACCACCCUCCAACGAUCACCAACCAAAACCCCUCCACACGCCCGCCCGCGCGCGCCACGGACGCAGCAAUGGCCGCCCUCGCCGCCUCCAUCGCCACCUCCACGGCGUUCGCCGCGAAGCCGCGCCUGUCCCGCCCGCCGGCGCGCCUCUCCGUCUCCUGCUCCGCGUCCAGCGGCGACAACAACAACAGCACCGCCACCCCCUCGCUCUCCGCCUCCAUCAAGACCUUCUCGGCCGCGCUGGCGCUCUCCUCCGUGCUCCUCUCCUCCGCCGCCACCUCCCCGCCCCCCGCGGCUGCCGACAUCGCCGGCCUGACCCCGUGCAAGGAGUCCAAGGCCUUCGCCAAGCGGGAGAAGCAGUCGGUCAAGAAGCUCAACUCGUCGCUCAAGAAGUACGCGCCCGACUCCGCCCCGGCGCUCGCCAUCCAGGCCACCAUCGACAAGACCAAGCGCCGGUUCGAGAACUACGGCAAGUUCGGCCUGCUCUGCGGCUCCGACGGCCUGCCCCACCUCAUCGUCAGCGGCGACCAGCGGCACUGGGGCGAGUUCAUCACCCCCGGCGUGCUCUUCCUCUACAUCGCCGGCUGGAUCGGCUGGGUCGGACGCAGCUACCUCAUCGCCGUCAGCGGCGAGAAGAAGCCCGCCAUGAGGGAGAUCAUCAUCGACGUCGAGCUCGCCGCCAGGAUCAUCCCCAGGGGCUUCAUCUGGCCCGUCGCCGCAUACCGCGAGCUCAUCAACGGCGACCUCGUCGUCGACGACGCCGACAUCGGCUACUAAGAAGCUGCCAUGCGUGCGUGCGUGCGUGGUUGGCUAGUCGGUCCCAAGUCAGGU
This 23169-nucleotide long non-coding RNA is filed under the name Hordeum vulgare. RNAcentral describes it as "long non-coding RNA (HVUL_LNC013953)". The record is from RNAcentral. Lineage: Eukaryota; Viridiplantae; Streptophyta; Magnoliopsida; Poales; Poaceae.